Molecule: unclassified non-coding RNA, 380 nt
Filed under: uncultured Gemmatimonadaceae bacterium
Lineage: Bacteria; Pseudomonadati; Gemmatimonadota; Gemmatimonadia; Gemmatimonadales; Gemmatimonadaceae
Description: contains 16S-23S intergenic spacer region
Source: RNAcentral
UCCGGUUUGGCACCGGCAGUCUUCCCAGAGUCCCCGGCAUUACCCGCUGGCAACUGGGAACGGGGGUUGCGCUCGUUGCGGGACUUAACCCAACAUCUCACGACACGAGCUGACGACAGCCAUGCAGCACCUGUGCUGGCGCCCCGAAGGGGGGCCCUGGUUUCUCAGGGCUUUCACCAGCAUGUCAAGCCUAGGUAAGGUUCUUCGCGUUGCGUCGAAUUAAACCACAUGCUCCACCGCUUGUGCGGGCCCCCGUCAAUUCCUUUGAGUUUCAGCCUUGCGGCCGUACUCCCCAGGCGGGGCACUUAAUGCGUUAGCGCCGGCACUCAGAGGGUCGCUCCCCCAAGCACCUAGUGCCCAUCGUUUACGGCGUGGACUAC